AUCUUUAUAAUUUCAUAGUUUAAAUAAUACGUAUUUUCAAAGCAAUACGUAUAAUUUAUUGUUUUUAGUGUUUUUAACCCAACAUUUUAUAAUUCUACUAGAUAAUUUUAUUCCAUAACUCAACAUAAUUUAAACUCUCCUAGAUAAUUUUGUUCCGUAUAUUUAUUAAAUUAACUAAAAUGGAAAUAAUGGAUCAACAGCAAUUCCCUAACAUAUUUUCAUCCCAAAAUCCUUGAUGGGGUUCUUCGAAUCUUGGUGAAAACGUCCCCCUUGUUCGUCACUUAUACUUCCUAAGUUUUCGAGAAAAAAAAAUAGAAAUUUCAUGAUUCAAACACAAUGAAUGUCGGAAAAACUCAUUACCUUUUUAACAUAGAGUCAAUUUUUGGAGUUUACUCCUUAAGAAUCGAUUUGCAUAUAUAAGAGGCCCGGUAUGAGAAAAAUGUGAGGAGUAAAAUCUAUCGAUGAAUGACCUCGUUACGUUUUUGGUGAGCACCCUAUGAUGCGCAACUUUCUAAUUUGUCAGUGUCAACAUACUUAUAUUGCUGUCAUUGUGAAGUUUUAUUAUCAUUGUGUUCCGCUAAAGUGAACUGAAAAUAUUUUCAAAUAACUAUGACAGAAAGAGGUGUAGAUGAUAUUGCCGGAACAUCUAACAAACACGUGGUUGCAAGGAAAAAAUCUAAACCUCCAAAAACUCCAGCCGAGAGACAGCGAGCUUACAGAUUAAAAAAAAAUUAAUGAAGAAAGCCC
Long non-coding RNA from Diorhabda carinulata, 747 nucleotides. RefSeq lists it as uncharacterized. The record is from RefSeq and is a predicted model, not a curated record. Lineage: Eukaryota; Metazoa; Arthropoda; Insecta; Coleoptera; Chrysomelidae. The transcript is spliced from 3 exons.